This 318-nucleotide ribosomal RNA is filed under the name uncultured bacterium. RNAcentral describes it as "bacterial SSU rRNA". It matches the Rfam family "Bacterial small subunit ribosomal RNA", at positions 28 to 334 of the family's 1533-position model. The record is from RNAcentral.
GAUGAACGCUGGCGGCGUGCCUAACACAUGCAAGUCGAACGAAGCACUUCGAUUUCUUCGGAAUGAAAAAGUGACUGAGUGGCGGACGGGUGAGUAACGCGUGGGUAACCUGCCUCAUACAGGGGGAUAACAGUUAGAAAUGACUGCUAAUACCGCAUAAGCGCACAGUACCGCAUGGUACAGUGUGAAAAACUCCGGUGGUAUGAGAUGGACCCGCGUCUGAUUAGCUAGUUGGUAAGGUAACGGCUUACCAAGGCGACGAUCAGUAGCCGGCCUGAGAGGGGUGAUCGGCCACAUUGGGACUGAGACACGGCCCAA